RNAcentral lists this ribosomal RNA (406 nucleotides) under uncultured bacterium. Its description in RNAcentral is "partial 16S ribosomal RNA". It matches the Rfam family "Bacterial small subunit ribosomal RNA", at positions 30 to 526 of the family's 1533-position model. The record is from RNAcentral.
CUUGAACGCUGGCUGCAGUCCUAACACAUGCAAGUCUAACGAGUGGCGGACUCGUGAGUAAUUUCUGGUCAACUUCCUGCUGUAGGGUGAUAACUACUGGCAACUGUAGCUAAUACCGCAUACCCUACGAUGUGCCCAGAUGGGAUUAGCUAGUUGGUGGGUUAACGGCUCACCAAGGCGACCAUCCCUAGCUGGUAUGAGAUGAUGACCAGCCACAGUGGAACGGAGACACGGUCCAGCCUACUACGGGAGGCAGCAGUGGGGAAUAUUGCACAAUGGGCGCAAGCCUGAUGCAGCCAUGCCGCGUGUAUGAAGAAGGCCUUCGGGUUGUAAAGUACUUUCAGCGGGGAGGCGUUACCCGCAGAAGAAGCACCGGCUAACUCAGUGCCAGCAGCCGCGGUAAUUC